UUUUUCGCCUCCGUUUAAAGCGCCCAAAGGCUACAUCCCCCCUAACCCGAGAGCCUAAGAGAAGAGACCCCCCUUUAUUCCCUUUGGAAUCGGUCUUAAACCACAGAGCCAGGGUUCCGGUGACGUGACUUUGGGGUUUGGGGUAAGUCUCAUUUUCACUUUUCUUCUUAUUUUUUUGUCUAAAACAAACUUGAAAAUAGAAAAAGAAAAAAAAAGUAAAAUAGAAUAGAAAUCAGGAGAUAAAAAGAGAAGAUCAGAUUCAACCUUUUUUUUAUUGCUUAAAUCGCGUGUAAAAACCAAAAUACAUUGAUCUUUCUGGCUUUUAUAGCCGAAUAAAACUUCCUAUUCUACUGUUUAUUUCACUAUUGGUGUUGUUCAUGAUUUUGCUUAUGCUACUAUUUCUAUAAUCCUUGUUUCUGUCUUUCUUUUUUCUUUUUGCAGGGUCGGCGCUUAGACAACUAAGGGGAGAAGGGUUUCUUUUUCCAUUUCGGUGCAAACUUACAGACGAGCCUCGGGACGAGGUACGGGCGACGUGGCCGAGGAGGGCAUAGGUGCGGCGCACAUAAAAUUAGGGUUUAGGCUUUUCUAAAAAAAUGUUUAGGUACAUGGGCUUGUUAUCUUUGGACUAAGUUUUUAGUUUUGGGUCUGCAGAAAUUUAGAAUUGUGUUUUGGACUCUGGACUGGUAAUUUUUAUA
RNAcentral lists this long non-coding RNA (695 nucleotides) under Gossypium barbadense (sea-island cotton). RNAcentral's name for it is "long non-coding RNA (GBAR_LNC012827)". Lineage: Eukaryota; Viridiplantae; Streptophyta; Magnoliopsida; Malvales; Malvaceae. The record is from RNAcentral.